CGGGUUUGAGAGGGAAAAGAAUUUGAUAAAAAGACUAGAUUUAACUAGAGGUGUUUAGGAGAAAAGGAAUAAGAUAUUCGGCUUUAGAGGGAAAGAGGAAAAAGGAAAGUAAAUGGAGAGGAAGAAAACAACAAUCGGUUGCGUCAAUGAUUUGAGAGACUUAGAAGUAUUCGGCCACCAAAGAGAAUAAUAGAAAGAUAUGUCAAAGAAGGGGAUGAUGAACAGAUUCGGCAGGCUGUGAAGGGAAAUAAUUGAUCACU
RNAcentral lists this long non-coding RNA (260 nucleotides) under Gossypium barbadense (sea-island cotton). RNAcentral describes it as "long non-coding RNA (GBAR_LNC005272)". Lineage: Eukaryota; Viridiplantae; Streptophyta; Magnoliopsida; Malvales; Malvaceae. The record is from RNAcentral.